GGGACAAUGCGGCUUUAAUCCAGAAUUGCAGCCAUAGGCUCAAUUACUCUUGAUUUACAUUACACGGGGUUUUAUUCGGACUGCUUUAUAAGGCGCACUGUGCUGCCGCGCAGUUUACAUGGAUGAGAGAGUGUUGGUAUGUUAAUGCCCCUUUUGGUUAUGCGGCCAAGUACAGACACUGGAGAUGGACUCUGCCUUCUUCAGUGGUUCUUUAACGUCUCACAAUAACAGGCACCACAGGGCUCCCAAAAUUUGAAGGAAGACUUACAACAAUCCAUGGAUGUUUGAGCGCCUCAGCGGCCGUGAUACGUUUAGGAGCAUCCACUGUCAGCAUCUUGUCAAUCAAGUCUUUGGCAUCAGCUGUCACAGUGUCCCAUUCAGGUGAGGGGUACUGGGGGAACAAAAGAAUAAUCAUGUCAAGAAAGUGCUGCCGGGCUUCCUGUGGUAACACCAGAAAAUUAAAAACAAUCUGAUUUCUUUAUCACUACGUGACGACGUAAAUGCAGUAUAAAGUAUAAUUCAUUGGUGGUUUAUUGGCUCAUUAACACUCAUUUUUACUGUUAUGAUUUUUUUUAGCCUUUAGAAUUUUCGCAUUGCUAUUUUCAUGCACUUGAGAGGGUUAAUUGGCGCGUUGUCUACUCCUAAAAACAAAACUCGAUUGAAAUCAGCAAUGAGAUCUUCGCAUGUUUAGAGAGCGUGAUUCCCUCCUGCUUUAAGAAUAUUUGAUCAAGAAUGGCGAUUAUCUAAUGAUGCCAUCAAGUUUAGUGAGGCUGUGAGAUAAAUUUGUUUAGAAACAAAAGAUGGCCUUUAUCGUGUAGAAAUCCUGCAUAUUGUUCUCUAUGUUUGUCAGAGAAAGAGGGCGGAUUAAGGGCGGACCAUAAGAUAUUUUACGAGGGGGGUGGGGUUGGGGCAAAAAUCGAGCACAGCAGCUCAGGGUAAGAAAUGGUGCAUUCAAGAAAACAUCCCCACGCCCCUCCCCCGUAGUUUGUUUGUCUACCGAACUGACGGAGAUUUGUAUGGCUGCCAGAGUAAAGAGGGUAUGGGUAUAUUUAAUAAAGCACCAUACCCCCCCCCCUCAAAAAAAAAAAGCAAACAAAAAAUUAAAAUAAAAAAGAAAGCUUUUCGAAAUUGAGAACAGUCAAUCAAGCCCAUCUGUAAAAACAAGACCAAGAACAUAUUGACAAAAUACGGUGUUCUUCUCAUCGUCAGACAAAA
Molecule: long non-coding RNA, 1215 nt
Organism: Nematostella vectensis (starlet sea anemone)
Lineage: Eukaryota; Metazoa; Cnidaria; Anthozoa; Actiniaria; Edwardsiidae
Exons: 2
Source: RefSeq, a predicted model, not a curated record